ACUUGGAUCUCAGCACAGAAAUGAUUCUAUGAUCCUCUGGGACACUUAAACUCAUUGAUACAAUGCUGAGUAAGGGAUAAAGUUGCUGUUUUCAGCAGAGUGCAAUAUAUUCAGUGCUAAAAAGGCCUUUUUCACAUUGGUUUGUAGCACAAGAGAUCUGGCUAGGACUGGGAAGCAAUCACUUAUUCAAAAACAUCAAUGCCUUGUCUUCCAACCACGCGGCGUUUGUUAGGAGAAUGAUAAAGGGAACACUACCUGGAAGGCCAUGAUACUGCUCUGUGCUGCAUGUAUGGACAAGAGGUUCAUGCCUUCCUCUUCCAUCUCACUGCAGUCUGCUAAUGUUUGCUUCCAUCUUUUUCUGUAGUGCACUGGAGCUACAGGUCCACCUCUGGGGAUAGCAGCUCACCUGUGGCCGUGGUUGCACCGGGCAGCUUGUGGCAUAGGUUAUGGGAGAAACGUAUCCAUUUUCUCUGGAAUAAUGAAUUUCUUUGACAUCAAAAAAUGUAUGGGAAGGACACUGUAUUUUUCUACAUAUCAGAGUUGUACCUGGGUCUUGCUCACGAGUAAGGAAGCUUGAAGCUCAGAUCAUUCCGAAGUUCCCCCACAACUGUGAUUGUGUGUUUGUGAUACUGCUCAUGUUUUCUGUUUAGAUUGCAGCAGAGUCAACAGCCCAUUCAAAUACCUUAUAAAUCACAAAUGUGUUAUUUUCAAAAGCUGAAUGGUUCUACUAAGCAGAAGCAUGCACAAUUAAGCUUAUGUUCCUGCAU
RNAcentral lists this long non-coding RNA (767 nucleotides) under Numida meleagris (helmeted guineafowl). RNAcentral describes it as "lncRNA (ENSNMEG00000014544.1)". The record is from RNAcentral. Lineage: Eukaryota; Metazoa; Chordata; Aves; Galliformes; Numididae.